GACGAACGCUGGCGGCGUGCUUAACACAUGCAAGUCGAACGGAAAGGCCCUGCUUGCAGGGUACUCGAGUGGCGAACGGGUGAGUAACACGUGGGUGAUCUGCCCUGCACUUCGGGAUAAGCCUGGGAAACUGGGUCUAAUACCGGAUAGGAGCCAUUUUUAGUGUGAUGGUUGGAAAGUUUUUUCGGUGUAGGAUGAGCUCGCGGCCUAUCAGCUUGUUGGUGGGGUAAUGGCCUACCAAGGCGGCGACGGGUAGCCGGCCUGAGAGGGUGGACGGCCACAUUGGGACUGAGAUACGGCCCAGACUCCUACGGGAGGCAGCAGGGGGGAAUAUUGCACAAUGGGCGCAAGCCUGAUGCAGCGACGCCGCGUGGGGGAUGACGGCCUUCGGGUUGUAAACUCCUUUCGCUAGGGACGAGGCUUUUUGUGACGGUACCUAGAUAAGAAGCACCGGCUAACUACGUG
Molecule: ribosomal RNA, 465 nt
Filed under: uncultured bacterium
Lineage: Bacteria
Description: partial 16S ribosomal RNA
Rfam family: Bacterial small subunit ribosomal RNA
Source: RNAcentral